RNAcentral lists this long non-coding RNA (256 nucleotides) under Carica papaya (papaya). RNAcentral describes it as "long non-coding RNA (CPAP_LNC012275)". The record is from RNAcentral. Lineage: Eukaryota; Viridiplantae; Streptophyta; Magnoliopsida; Brassicales; Caricaceae.
AAUAUAUAUGUUUUUCAGUCACAUAUAUAUUCUCUGCAUUUAUAUUUACAUGUUAUAUGAAGAAUAGUAAAUUAAACGUUAUAACAUGAUGGUGUGUGGGCAUGGUGUAUAUGUAGCGAUGACAACGUGACAUGGGGUUGUUGGGUGCAUGUCUUAUUGAAGCAUGCGCUUUAAUAACUCAUGAUAGUAGCAUGAAUAUCAAAAUAUGAAGCGUGCGCAUUUGAUUUUACUAACGUACCCAAUUUAUCAACCCCUU